RNAcentral lists this long non-coding RNA (405 nucleotides) under Gossypium barbadense (sea-island cotton). Its description in RNAcentral is "long non-coding RNA (GBAR_LNC017312)". The record is from RNAcentral. Lineage: Eukaryota; Viridiplantae; Streptophyta; Magnoliopsida; Malvales; Malvaceae.
UUUAGGUUGUCGACUUUAAAAAAUGAAAAUUGGGAGUCGCCACCAAUCUUUUAUUAAAGUGUGAUUGGGUCACCUAAAAACGACUUUGGUCUACGAAUUUUAGAAAAAUGGGUCCGAGAGUCGGUUACGUAUGAGGAAGGAUUAGCACCCUCAUAACGCCCAAAAAUUGGUACCUAGUUAAUUAAUUAAUGUCUUAAUGUCAAAAAUUUGAAAAAAUAUAAUCCUUAGCAAAAACUUAAAAAUGUUACGUAUUAAGACCCUCAUCAUUUCAGAGAAAGAAAAUGCCACACCCAAUGCGUUAGGGCACGACAUUCUAAUUUCUACAAAAAUGAAUUAGGCCAGAAUACUCGUGUAAUAAAAAUUUAAAAGAAUAUUCAUUUAUUCAAGAUUUAAGAAAUCGCGGCC